AAUAGAUACCCAGGUAGUCCUAGCCUUAAACGAUGGGUACUGGGUAGAAAGCGCUCCGAUAGCGCCUUCUGCCGUAGCGAAAGUGUUAAGUACCCCGCCUGGGGAGUAUGGUCGCAAGGCUGAAACUCAAAGGAAUUGACGGGGGCUCACACCAGCGGUGGAGCAUGUGGCUUAAUUCGAGGCUACGCGAAGAACCUUAUCCUAGAUUUGACAUGCACGGAUUAGUCGGUGGAAACAUCGGUGACGCGGCUUGCCGUGGAACGUGCACAGGUGCUGCAUGGCUGUCGUCAGCUCGUGUUGUGAGAUGUCGGGUUAAGUCCCUUAACGAGCGAAACCUUUGUCCUUAGUUACCAGCGGUUCGGCCGGGCACUCUAAGGAGACUGGCCGGUGUCAAGCCGGAGGAAGGUGGAGAUGACGUCAAGUCCUCAUGGCCUUUAUGUCUAGGGCUGCACACGUGCUACGAAUGGGGGGUACAAAGGGAAGCAAGUUCGCGAGGACAAGCAAAUCCCAAAAAGCCUCCCUCAGUUCGGAUUGCAGG
RNAcentral lists this ribosomal RNA (538 nucleotides) under uncultured bacterium. RNAcentral's name for it is "bacterial SSU rRNA". It matches the Rfam family "Bacterial small subunit ribosomal RNA", at positions 777 to 1304 of the family's 1533-position model. The record is from RNAcentral.